Molecule: ribosomal RNA, 236 nt
Filed under: uncultured bacterium
Lineage: Bacteria
Description: partial 16S ribosomal RNA
Rfam family: Bacterial small subunit ribosomal RNA
Source: RNAcentral
ACGGGUGAGUAACACGUGGUCAACCUUCCCUAGUGUGGGGGGAGUAACUAGCCGAAAGGUUAGCUAAUACCGCAUAACAUCUACGAGUGGCAUCAUUUGUAGAUCAAAGGAGCAAUCCGCACAAGGACGGGACCGCGUCCCAUUAGUUAGUUGGUGGGGUAACGGCCUACCAAGACUCCGAUGGGUAGCUGGUUUGAGAGAGCGACCAGCCACACUGGGACUGAGAAACGGCCCAG